Molecule: ribosomal RNA, 254 nt
Filed under: uncultured bacterium
Lineage: Bacteria
Description: partial 16S ribosomal RNA
Rfam family: Bacterial small subunit ribosomal RNA
Source: RNAcentral
UACGGGGGGAGCAAGCGUUGUUCGGAUUUACUGGGCGUAAAGGGCGCGUAGGCGGCCACCGCAAGUCGAUUGUGAAAUCUCCGGGUUUAACCCGGAAAGGUCAACCGAUACUGCGGGGCUAGAGUGCAGAAGGGGCAACUGGAAUUCUCGGUGUAGCGGUGAAAUGCGUAGAUAUCGAGAGGAACACCUGCGGCGAAGGCGGGUUGCUGGGCUGACACUGACGCUGAUGUGCGAAAGCUAGGGGAGCGAACGGG